GAGGGGGCGGCUCGGGCGAAUCGGGUGCCAACCCGGUCAGGGCCGAAAGGCAGCAGCCGUAACAUUUUUGGUUCGGGUCGAUGUCCGUUCCCUCACC
RNAcentral lists this signal recognition particle RNA (97 nucleotides) under Alphaproteobacteria bacterium. Its description in RNAcentral is "signal recognition particle sRNA small type". It matches the Rfam family "Bacterial small signal recognition particle RNA". From Rfam's summary of the family: The signal recognition particle (SRP) is a universally conserved ribonucleoprotein involved in the co-translational targeting of proteins to membranes. Archaeal SRP consists of a 7S RNA and homologues of the eukaryotic SRP19 and SRP54 proteins. Lineage: Bacteria; Pseudomonadati; Pseudomonadota; Alphaproteobacteria. The record is from RNAcentral.